CCGGAAGUGAACCUGCCUCGCGGGGACUCGUGGGGCUGCACGCCGCGCAAGGAACCCCGGGAGGCGGAGGUCUGGUAGCACCACCUACUCUCUUAAAGGAGUAGGCGCUCAGAGUUCAAAACACGAAUUGUUGCCUCUUUACCAUUCUGCCUGGAGCCAACUGAUUAUGGAUUGAAACCUCUACGAACUGUGAGACAAAGAAACCCCUUACCCUCUUAACUUUGGAUGUCAGGUAGCCAUCUAGAUAUGAGCUGGAGCCAGGAAAAUAGUAGGUGAGCUAAAGGAGGAAGUCUAUACCUAUGCACAGACAGAAACUGAUAGGUGAGUUAAUGGAUAUGUGACACAGUGGUCUUAAGUUUCAAAGCUUCCUGAAAUGGGUCCUCAUACCCCUUUCAGGUUCCUUACACCUACCCCAUUAAUGCAGGAGCCCCUGCAUGCCUACCUAGGGGACCCAGGUUCCAGGUUGACAAAUGUUGACUCUCUUGGGCCUUAUUUACAUACAUUUUCAUUACAGUUCUGGCUCCCUUAUAAGCUUUGGCCACUAUGUUUGUUCAAAGACCAUAUAAGUACAAAAACUCCCUUCUUGAGGGUAUAUUUUUAUUACUGGCAAUUGUCACCUCUAGGCUCAGCCUGCUUGGGUUUCUCCCAAGUGUACUGCCCUCUCCAAUAAAG
This 672-nucleotide long non-coding RNA is filed under the name Heterocephalus glaber (naked mole-rat). RNAcentral describes it as "lncRNA (ENSHGLG00100049140.1)". Lineage: Eukaryota; Metazoa; Chordata; Mammalia; Rodentia; Bathyergidae. The record is from RNAcentral.